This 349-nucleotide long non-coding RNA is filed under the name Vigna radiata. RNAcentral describes it as "long non-coding RNA (VRAD_LNC015816)". Lineage: Eukaryota; Viridiplantae; Streptophyta; Magnoliopsida; Fabales; Fabaceae. The record is from RNAcentral.
UCGUACUACUCCAUUCAAAUCAAGAAAAUGAAAUAUUAAAAUAAAGAUGGUUUGUCAAAGAAAGGAGAUUAACGUGUAUUUCUUUGAUGGGUGUUGCAGCAGGACUCCCUUUCAUCCAACAAGGGUCGUGACACCAAACCACCAAAUCCAAGGUAAAUGCUGAAUGUAUUUAAAUUGAAAAGCUUUGGAAUAUUUAAAUGCACAAGUGGCUGUAACAUCACUUCAUUCAAUCGCCAUGUCUUCAUUCAUUCAUCCACAAUCUAACAAUAAAAACAUUGUUCCGAAGCUCUCCUUCCAAAAUGUUGCAGCCCCCUCUUUUCCAAUUGNCGAGAGAAGCGUUCCAGCUCCC